UCGGUCCCCAUAUGAUCACCGAAAUUAAGCAACGUCAAGCCUGGUCAGUACCUAGGUGGGAGAAGCUUUGGGAAUACCAGGUGUUGUAAG
Molecule: non-coding RNA, 90 nt
Organism: Acanthosepion pharaonis
Lineage: Eukaryota; Metazoa; Mollusca; Cephalopoda; Sepiida; Sepiidae
Source: the annotation of a GenBank genome assembly